GAUACAAUAUUCUCUGAAUGAUUCUCUUAAUUAUUCUCCAUAAAUGGAUCAAUCUACAAACAGUCAAAUUUUUCUCAAAUUAUGCACAGAUGUUAAAUUUAUUCAUGAGUCAUUCAUGAGUAAUUAAGAUAUUUUUAUGUGUUAUUAACUAAUGAUUCCAUAUCUUGCUGCUACCAGAAAUAUUUUUACUAUCAUUUGUUAUUCUUGACUCUCCUAUGCUUGUAUUCAGGUAAGUAGACUACAGAUAUUUUAAGAAGCUUAAAUUUUUUGUUUUGCUAUGCUAAUUUAGCUCAUCCAAGCUCUUUCCAAGGUUUUGACAAAUUUACCAGAUUCUUUCCCAACUCCUAAUCUCUACUAACUGAAUUGUUCCUGAAGAUUGAACUUAUGAUUUUGAUAUCAAUACUUGAUAUGUAUCAAAUGCAUAUCCGAUACAUGCAUGGCAUGUAACUUGAAGCAUCUAUUCCUUCUAGAAAAAUCUUAAAUAAACUCAGGUGGUCUUAGUCAUUAGUUAUAUAAGAAAGAAAAAGAAUAUAAUGAUAAAAAGGAGAUAAAACACUACUUCGAUACCAUGCUAACAAAUUACAAUAAUGAUUCUAACUUAGUUCGAAUGUGUAUCCCAAAAAAAAAAAAAUGUUAUACACAACAACUUAAC
This 652-nucleotide long non-coding RNA is filed under the name Elaeis guineensis (African oil palm). Its description in RNAcentral is "long non-coding RNA (EGUI_LNC078998)". Lineage: Eukaryota; Viridiplantae; Streptophyta; Magnoliopsida; Arecales; Arecaceae. The record is from RNAcentral.